GAAAGUAAAUCAGAGAUUCGGAAUGAAGUGGCUCGUCCAAUGGCGAAAUAAACGCACACACUUCAACGUCGUCUUGCAGGGUAAUUAAACCAACAUAAUCUCCUUUAGAAUUUCCUAUUGAGAUUUCACUUGGAUCGACAAGAAUCUGAAUUGGUGGAUGCAGGUAUUAAGUAGAGAACUAAGACUUGGAUCAAUUGAAUCAAUAUCCGGUCGGUCCGUUUCACCAUUUGAACUCAACGAAGGAUCUUGAAAAGUAGCAAAUUGUUGAUGGCGGAAAUCUGAAAUAAAAACAGAAAGUGCUGGAAUAGCCCUGUUUAUGUGUAAGGCAUGAUACGAACAUACAAUAAAUCACACUGCAAGCCAAAAGUUGCUCCAUGAAACAACUUAUUCGUCUCUUAUUUUUGGUUUCUUGUCCCAAACCUCUAAUUUUCAGUUUUGUAAUGUUUUUGAAUUAAAGUUAUCUUCCAUUUUUUACCCAGUAUCUUUAUCUUUGUUGGUGUGAGAACAUUUGUCAUGUGCCCUAUGCAUAUGGCCUCAACACAUUACCAGAUGGAUGCAAAUCCACUUUUCUCCAGAAAAAUAGCAGGAUAAAGCCUGUAAUUACAGACCUGAGCGCCUUGCAUUGGUAGUAGGGCUGUUAUUGAAAAAUAAUAGAGGGUGAUGGUAGAAGGCUUAUUUUAUAAUUGGAUUCCUGUGAUUAAUAUUGUGCUACAGUGGUCAGUGCUGGGAGCCUUGCUGCUUGCAAUAUACGUGAAUGAUUUGAAUAUGGAUAUAGUUGGCAGAUAGCACCAAGACUGCUG
This is a long non-coding RNA of Leucoraja erinaceus (little skate), 800 nucleotides long. RefSeq lists it as uncharacterized. Lineage: Eukaryota; Metazoa; Chordata; Chondrichthyes; Rajiformes; Rajidae. The record is from RefSeq and is a predicted model, not a curated record. The transcript has 3 exons.